GGGGCUGUAGCUCAGUUGGCAGAGCGCUUGCAUGGCAUGCAAGAGGUCGUCGGUUCGACCCCGAUCAGCUCCACCA
This 76-nucleotide transfer RNA is filed under the name bacterium. RNAcentral describes it as "tRNA-Ala". It matches the Rfam family "tRNA". Rfam says of the family: Transfer RNA (tRNA) molecules are approximately 80 nucleotides in length. Their secondary structure includes four short double-helical elements and three loops (D, anti-codon, and T loops). Further hydrogen bonds mediate the characteristic L-shaped molecular structure. tRNAs have two regions of fundamental functional importance: the anti-codon, which is responsible for specific mRNA codon recognition, and the 3' end, to which the tRNAs corresponding amino acid is attached (by aminoacyl-tRNA synthetases). tRNAs cope with the degeneracy of the genetic code in two manners: having more than one tRNA (with a specific anti-codon) for a particular amino acid; and 'wobble' base-pairing, i.e. permitting non-standard base-pairing at the 3rd anti-codon position. RNAcentral also lists the same sequence under 2 other names. The record is from RNAcentral.